Molecule: long non-coding RNA, 206 nt
Filed under: Mytilus galloprovincialis (Mediterranean mussel)
Lineage: Eukaryota; Metazoa; Mollusca; Bivalvia; Mytilida; Mytilidae
Source: RNAcentral
AAUAAAAUUGAGAAUGGAAAUGGGGUAUGUGCCAAAGAGACAACAACCCGACCAUAGAAAAAAAAACAACAGCAGAAGGUCACCAACAGGUCUUCAAUGUAGCGAGAAAUUCCCGCACCCGGAGGCGUCCUUCAACUGGCCCCUAAACAAAUAUAUACUAGUUCAGUGAUCAUGAACGCCAUACUAAUUUCCAAAUUGUACACAAG